RNAcentral lists this long non-coding RNA (406 nucleotides) under Rosa chinensis. RNAcentral describes it as "sRNA RchiOBHm_Chr5g0037261". The record is from RNAcentral. Lineage: Eukaryota; Viridiplantae; Streptophyta; Magnoliopsida; Rosales; Rosaceae.
UUGGAUCUGGAGAGUGGAGACCAGCCUUCUAGAUGACCUAGGUUGGACGAUUGAGAUUCAGACUAACCCAUUAAAGAGUAAAGACCUAUACUUCUCUCAUUCUCCGCCGCUGUGCCUCCAUUCUCUCCAUCACUCGAAACUUUUCUCACAUCACUCCUCAUUCACGACUCACAGUCUCACAUCGAUCUUUUGAUCCUCUCCCUUCAACUCACUUUCUUCGUCUUCCUCUUGAUAGUAGGGCAUUCUUGCAGCCUUGCAAACACAUAUAUGAGAGUAUGUAUCUAAGAUUACUCGUUGCCUAAGGAUUUGACAGCUCAAGAAGGUACUGAAGCUGCACCAAGGAAGAAGGGAGUUGCAGGUUCCUCUUAAGUCUGUGAGCUAUUCCGCUAAAGUUCCUUAGUAAUUU